CCUACGAGGAGCAGCAGUGGGGAAUAUUGCACAAUGGGGGGAACCCUGAUGCAGCAACGCCGCGUGAGUGAAGCAGUAUUUCGGUAUGUAAAGCUCUAUCAGCAGGGAAGAAGAUGACGGUACCUGAGUAAGAAGCCCCGGCUAACUACGUGCCAGCAGCCGCGGUAAUACGUAGGGGGCAAGCGUUAUCCGGAUUUACUGGGUGGAAAGGGAGCGUAGACGGCGAGGCAAGUCUGGAGUGAAAGCCCGGGGCGCAACCCCGGGACUGCUUUGGAAACUGCCUGGUUGGAGUGCUGGAGAGGCAAGCGGAAUUCCUGGUGUAGCGGUGAAAUGCGUAGAUAUUAGGAAGAACACCAGUGGCGAAGGCGGCUUGCUGGACAGUAACUGACGUUGAGGCUCGAAAGCGUGGGGAGCAAACAGGAUUAGAUACCCUAGUAGUC
Molecule: ribosomal RNA, 440 nt
Filed under: uncultured bacterium
Lineage: Bacteria
Description: partial 16S ribosomal RNA
Rfam family: Bacterial small subunit ribosomal RNA
Source: RNAcentral